Molecule: ribosomal RNA, 539 nt
Filed under: Saccharomycopsis fibuligera
Lineage: Eukaryota; Fungi; Ascomycota; Saccharomycetes; Ascoideales; Saccharomycopsidaceae
Description: partial large subunit ribosomal RNA
Rfam family: Eukaryotic large subunit ribosomal RNA
Source: RNAcentral
GCGGCAAAAGCUCAAAUUUGAAAGCUAGCACCUUCGGUGUUCGCGUUGUAAUUUGAAGAUAGUUUCCUUGAGUAGUCCUUUAUCUAUGUUCCUUGGAACAGGACGUCAUAGAGGGUGAGAACCCCGUAUGAUUUUGGAUACUACUCUUUGUGGGAUUCUAUCGAAGAGUCGAGUUGUUUGGGAAUGCAGCUCUAAGUGGGUGGUAAAUUCCAUCUAAAGCUAAAUAUUGGCGAGAGACCGAUAGCGAACAAGUACAGUGAUGGAAAGAUGAAAAGAACUCUGAAGAGAGAGUGAAAAAGUACGUGAAAUUGCUGAAAGGGAAGGGCUUGAGGUCAGACUUGGUGUUUAAUGAUUAUCAGUUCUUCUUGGACUGUGCACUCGUUUUUCACCGGGCCAAUAUCAGUUUUAGCGGUAGAGUACCCCUUGAAAUGUGGCUUCCUUCGGGGAGUGUUAUAGUCUUGGGGAGAUCUACUUGCUGGGACUGAGGACUGCGCUUCGGCAAGGAUAUUGGCGUAAUGACCUUAAGCCGCCCGUCUUGA